This 497-nucleotide ribosomal RNA is filed under the name uncultured bacterium. RNAcentral describes it as "partial 16S ribosomal RNA". It matches the Rfam family "Bacterial small subunit ribosomal RNA", at positions 28 to 507 of the family's 1533-position model. The record is from RNAcentral.
GAUGAACGCUGGCGGCGUGCCUAAUACAUGCAAGUCGAGCGAACAGACGAGGAGCUUGCUCCUCUGACGUUAGCGGCGGACGGGUGAGUAACACGUGGAUAACCUACCUAUAAGACUGGGAUAACUUCGGGAAACCGGAGCUAAUACCGGAUAAUAUAUUGAACCGCAUGGUUCAAUAGUGAAAGACGGUUUUGCUGUCACUUAUAGAUGGAUCCGCGCGGCAGUAGCUAGUUGGUAAGGUAACGGCUUACCAAGGCGACGAGGCGUAGCCGAGUUGAGAGGGUGAUCGACCACACUGGAAGUGAGACACGGUCCUGACUCCUACGGGAGGGAGCAGUAGGGAAUCUUACGCAAUGGGCGGAAGCCUGACGGAGCAACGCCGCGUGAGUGAUGAAGGUCUUCGGAUCGUAAAACUCUGUUAUUAGGGAAGAACAAAUGUGUAAGUAACUAUGCACGUCUUGACGGUACCUAAUCAGAAAGCCACGGCUAACUACGUG